UACGGAGGGUGCAAGCGUUAUCCGGAUUCACUGGGGUUAAAGGGUGCGUAGGUUGAUAGGUAAGUCAGUGGUGAAAUACUCCGACUCAAUCGGAGAACUGCCGUUGAUACUAUCUAUCUUGAAUACGGUGGAGGCGGGCGGAAUGCGUCAUGUAGUGGUGAAAUACUUAGAUAUGACGCAGAACACCCAUUGCGAAGGCAGCUCGCUACACCGGCAUUGACACUGAGGCACGAAAGCGUGGGGAUCAAACAGG
Molecule: ribosomal RNA, 253 nt
Filed under: uncultured bacterium
Lineage: Bacteria
Description: partial 16S ribosomal RNA
Rfam family: Bacterial small subunit ribosomal RNA
Source: RNAcentral